This 301-nucleotide unclassified non-coding RNA is filed under the name Clostridioides difficile. Its description in RNAcentral is "16S-23S ribosomal RNA intergenic spacer (ISR)". Lineage: Bacteria; Bacillati; Bacillota; Clostridia; Peptostreptococcales; Peptostreptococcaceae. The record is from RNAcentral.
GCCUACUGUUUAAUUUUGAGGGUUCGUUUUUACGAAUACUCAAAGUUAGCACUUUAAGCAACGUGAUUUAUCCGUUGGCGCUGUGCAUUAGCACUUUAAGCAACGUGAUUUAUCCGUUGGCGCUGUGCGUUAGCACUUUAAGCAACGGAAUUUAUUCGUUGGCGCUGUGCUUUAGCACUUUGAAAACUGCAUAUAUAUAUUUAGUGAUAUGACAUCUAAUUUGUAAUAUAUAAAGCUGAUAACUUUUUAAAAUUAUCGAAGUUGAUAGCUUCUAAUCUAUCAAACCUUUUUAACUGGUCAA